GCCCCUUAAUAACAAACAAUUUGAUGCAAAAUUACAAAUGGGACAAGAAACCAACGAACUAACAUAAUUUUUUUAUAUAAACAAGCGACUGCUAUUCACUCAUAAAGAUAAAGGACGUGAGGAAAAUGAAAUUGUAGCAUUAUGCCAUGCCAUGAUGCAGCAUUUAAUCACACAACACAAUAAACAUCACUUAAGUUUCUUAGCAAUAUGAUG
This 213-nucleotide long non-coding RNA is filed under the name Gossypium barbadense (sea-island cotton). RNAcentral describes it as "long non-coding RNA (GBAR_LNC014440)". The record is from RNAcentral. Lineage: Eukaryota; Viridiplantae; Streptophyta; Magnoliopsida; Malvales; Malvaceae.